GACAGAGGGUGCAAGCGUUGUUCGGAAUCAUUGGGCGUAAAGCGCACGUAGGCGGUCGUGUAAGUCGGAUGUGAAAGCCCUGGGCUUAACCCAGGAAGUGCAUCUGAUACUGCAUGACUUGAGUCCCGGAGAGGGUGGUGGAAUUCCUGGUGUAGAGGUGAAAUUCGUAGAUAUCAGGAGGAACACCGGUGGCGAAGGCGACCACCUGGACGGAGACUGACGCUGAGGUGCGAAAGCGUGGGGAGCAAACAGG
This 253-nucleotide ribosomal RNA is filed under the name uncultured bacterium. RNAcentral's name for it is "partial 16S ribosomal RNA". It matches the Rfam family "Bacterial small subunit ribosomal RNA", at positions 524 to 776 of the family's 1533-position model. The record is from RNAcentral.